CAGCUUCACCAUCACCUGCUCCACUCAGCCACAGUACCCAGGAGGCUUCUUCCUCCUCACGUUCACCGGCUCCAACAGAACCCAGACCCAGCCAGCUCUCAAUCACUCUGCUGCCUUCCUCUUCCCUGCUGCAGAUGACUCCCACCAAGGGAACUACAGCUGUGUUUAUGACAAUCAUGUUUUCUCUCAUGACUUCUCCUCUGAGAGUGAGCUCCUCUCCCUCACCAUCACAGCCUCUCCUCUGCCAGCCUUCGUCAUCAGACACGUUGUAGUGCUGCUGAUCCUACUGACAGGCAUCACCACCUCCUACCUGUACUACAAGCCCACCAGGAGGCAGAAGAGAGUGAACAGGGUGAGCAGCAUGGAUCUUUAUGUCAAUGCCAUGGAGAUGGUCUCUCUGAGCUCCAGAGCUGAAGCUGGACCGGGAGAGGAGAGAGCAGCCCAGGGGACGGAGUAGGAGUAGAAUGAAGCUGACCCUACAUGCUGAUCUUAGGUCAGUUUUGUGUUUUAAAUGGAUGGUCAGCAGUGGACUGGUGUUUAAAAUGUGGUGACAAACCUGAAGUGGUUCUAAUUUUAAUAACAAGUUCAGAAUUAGUUUAUCUUUCUAGAACCUUGGAAGAAAUCUAAAAGGAGUGACUGUAACCACCAUUAUUCCUUUUAGUUUGGUUUUUACCACCAGAGAAACAUGGGGUUCUGGGUAACAUGGGGUUCUGGGUAACAUGGGGUUCUGGGUAACAUGUGGUUUUGGG
RNAcentral lists this long non-coding RNA (749 nucleotides) under Salmo salar (Atlantic salmon). RNAcentral's name for it is "lncRNA (ENSSSAG00000086584.1)". Lineage: Eukaryota; Metazoa; Chordata; Actinopteri; Salmoniformes; Salmonidae. The record is from RNAcentral.